UUGGUAAUGCAACCUAUUUGGUCGCGCCCGUGGUGGCCAUGUCACAAUGAUAUUCCAUGCGGAUUCAACACGCUGGAGACUCGCGUGUUGGAUGAUCGAACGACCUGCAUGUUUUAGUGAAAAUCGAAUGGUUGAGGAUCCUUCCUACCUUUGGAUGCAAUCUAACAGCUCCUAGAUGCAUAGAGGAUGAUGAUUAUGAUCAUGCGGCUGACAAACAAGAUGCUGAUUAGAAGAUUGAGGCAUG
This 244-nucleotide long non-coding RNA is filed under the name Carica papaya (papaya). Its description in RNAcentral is "long non-coding RNA (CPAP_LNC005676)". The record is from RNAcentral. Lineage: Eukaryota; Viridiplantae; Streptophyta; Magnoliopsida; Brassicales; Caricaceae.